RNAcentral lists this ribosomal RNA (497 nucleotides) under uncultured bacterium. Its description in RNAcentral is "partial 16S ribosomal RNA". It matches the Rfam family "Bacterial small subunit ribosomal RNA", at positions 28 to 507 of the family's 1533-position model. The record is from RNAcentral.
GAUGAACGCUGGCGGCGUGCCUAAUACAUGCAAGUCGAGCGAACGGACGAGAAGCUUGCUUCUCUGAUGUUAGCGGCGGACGGGUGAGUAACACGUGGAUAACCUACCUAUAAGACUGGGAUAACUUCGGGAAACCGGAGCUAAUACCGGAUAAUAUUUUGAACCGCAUGGUUCAAAAGUUAAAGACGGCCUUGCUGUCACUUAUAGAUGGAUCCGCGCUGCAUUAGCUAGUUGGUAAGGUAACGGCUUACCAAGGCAACGAUGCAUAGCCGACCUGAGAGGGUGAUCGGCCACACUGGAACUGAGACACGGUCACGACUCCUACGGGAGGCAGCAGUAGGGAAUCUUCCGCAAUGGGCGAAAGCCUGACGGAGCAACGCCGCGUGAGUGAUGAAGGUCUUCGGAUCGUAAAACUCUGUUAUUAGGGAAGAACAUAUGUGUAAGUAACUGUGCACAUCUUGACGGUACCUAAUCAGAAAGCCACGGCUAACUACGUG